UACGGGGGGGGCAAGCGUUGUUCGGAAUUACUGGGCGUAAAGGGUUCGUAGGGGGCUUGCUAAGUCAGACGUGAAAUCCCUCAGCUUAACUGGGGAACUGCGUCUGAGACUGGUGAGCUUGAGUGCAGGAGAGGAACGCGGAAUUCCAGGUGUAGCGGUGAAAUGCGUAGAUAUCUGGAGGAACACCGGUGGCGAAGGCGGCGUUCUGGACUGCUACUGACACUGAUGAACGAAAGCCAGGGGAGCAAACGGG
This 253-nucleotide ribosomal RNA is filed under the name uncultured bacterium. RNAcentral's name for it is "partial 16S ribosomal RNA". It matches the Rfam family "Bacterial small subunit ribosomal RNA", at positions 524 to 776 of the family's 1533-position model. The record is from RNAcentral.